This 689-nucleotide ribosomal RNA is filed under the name uncultured bacterium. Its description in RNAcentral is "bacterial SSU rRNA". It matches the Rfam family "Bacterial small subunit ribosomal RNA", at positions 94 to 800 of the family's 1533-position model. The record is from RNAcentral.
AGUGGCGGACGGGUGAGUAACGCGUGAGUAACCUGCCUUGGAGUGGGGAAUAACAGCUGGAAACAGCUGCUAAUACCGCAUAAUAUGUCUGUGUCGCAUGGCACUGGACAUCAAAGAUUUAUCGCUCUGAGAUGGACUCGCGUCUGAUUAGCUAGUUGGUGGGGCAACGGCCCACCAAGGCGACGAUCAGUAGCCGGCCUGAGAGGGUGAACGGCCACAUUGGGACUGAGACACGGCCCAAACUCCUACGGGAGGCAGCAGUGGGGAAUAUUGCACAAUGGGGGAAACCCUGAUGCAGCGACGCCGCGUGAAGGAAGAAGUAUUUCGGUAUGUAAACUUCUAUCAGCAGGGAAGAAAAUGACGGUACCUGACUAAGAAGCCCCGGCUAACUACGUGCCAGCAGCCGCGGUAAUACGUAGGGGGCAAGCGUUAUCCGGAUUUACUGGGUGUAAAGGGAGCGUAGGCGGUUCAGCAAGUCAGAAGUGAAAGCCCGGGGCUCAACUCCGGGACUGCUUUUGAAACUGUUGAACUAGAUUGCAGGAGAGGUAAGUGGAAUUCCUAGUGUAGCGGUGAAAUGCGUAGAUAUUAGGAGGAACACCAGUGGCGAAGGCGGCUUACUGGACGAUGACUGACGCUGAGGCUCGAAAGCGUGGGGAGCAAACAGGAUUAGAUACCCUGGUAGUCCACGC